UUUAAGGGCCGCGGUAUUUUUGACUGUGCAAAGGUAGCAUAAUCAUUAGGUUUUUAAUUGGGAUCUUGUAUGAAUGAUUGGACAAAAGAAGGACUGUCUUUAUAUUAGAGUUUGAAUUUAACUUUUAAGUGAAAAGGCUUAAAUAUUCUAAAGGGACGAUAAGACCCUAUAAAACUUUACAUUGGUAAUUUAUAUUAUUAAAUUUUAUUAUAAUAAUUGUUUAAAUUUAUUUGUUAUGUUGGGGAGACAAGAAUUAUAAUUUAUAUUAACUGUUUUAAAAAAAUUCAUUAAUUAAUGAUUAAGUUAAUUAAUUGAUCCUUUAUAAAGAUUUAAAGAUUAAGUUACUUUAGGGAUAACAGCGUUAUUUUUUUUGAGAGUUCAUAUCGAAAAAAGAGAUUGCGACCUCGAUGUUGAAUUAAAAGUUCUUUAUAAUGUAGAUGUUAUAAAAGAAGGUCUGUUCGACCUUUAAUUUUUUACGUGAUC
RNAcentral lists this ribosomal RNA (483 nucleotides) under Platythelphusa tuberculata. RNAcentral's name for it is "partial 16S ribosomal RNA". It matches the Rfam family "Archaeal large subunit ribosomal RNA", at positions 2000 to 2674 of the family's 2987-position model. Lineage: Eukaryota; Metazoa; Arthropoda; Malacostraca; Decapoda; Platythelphusidae. The record is from RNAcentral.